AACGAACGCUGGCGGCAUGCCUAACACAUGCAAGUCGAACGAGACCUUCGGGUCUAGUGGCGCACGGGUGCGUAACGCGUGGGAACCUGCCCUUAGGUUCGGAAUAACUCCCCGAAAGGGGUGCUAAUAACGGAUAAUGUCUUCGGACCAAAGAUUUAUCGCCUUUGGAUGGGCCCGCGUUGGAUUAGCUAGUUGGUAGGGUAAAAGCCUACCAAGGCGACGAUCCAUAGCUGGUCGGAGAGGAGGAUCAGCCACACUGGGACUGAGACACGGCCCAGACCCCUACGGGAGGCAGCAGUGGGGAAUAUUGGACAAGGGGCGAAAGCCUGAUCAAGCAAUGCCGCGUGAGUGAUGAAGGCCUUAGGGUUGUAAAGCUCUUUUACCCGGGAUGAUAAUGACAGUACCGGGAGAAUAAGCUCCGGCUAACUCCGUG
RNAcentral lists this ribosomal RNA (433 nucleotides) under uncultured bacterium. RNAcentral's name for it is "partial 16S ribosomal RNA". It matches the Rfam family "Bacterial small subunit ribosomal RNA", at positions 29 to 507 of the family's 1533-position model. The record is from RNAcentral.